AUGAACGCUGGCGGCGUGCCUAAUACAUGCAAGUCGAGCGAACGGACGAGAAGCUUGCUUCUCUGAUGUUAGCGGCGGACGGGUGAGUAACACGUGGAUAACCUACCUAUAAGACUGGGAUAACUUCGGGAAACCGUAGCUAAUACCGGAUAAUAUUUUGAACCGCAUGGUUCAAAAGUGAAAGACGGUCUUGCUGUCGCUUAUAGAUGGAUCCGCGCUGCAUUAGCUAGUUGGUAAGGUAACGGCUUACCAAGGCAACGAUGCAUAGCCGACCUGAGAGGGUGAUCGGCCACACUGGAACUGAGACACGGUCCAGACUCCUACGGGAGGCAGCAGUAGGGAAUCUUCCGCAAUGGGCGAAAGCCUGACGGAGCAACGCCGCGUGAGUGAUGAAGGUCUUCGGAUCGUAAAACUCUGUUAUUAGGGAAGAACAUAUGUGUAAGUAACUGUGCACAUCUUGACGGUACCUAAUCAGAAAGCCACGGCUAACUACGUG
Molecule: ribosomal RNA, 496 nt
Filed under: uncultured bacterium
Lineage: Bacteria
Description: partial 16S ribosomal RNA
Rfam family: Bacterial small subunit ribosomal RNA
Source: RNAcentral